RNAcentral lists this long non-coding RNA (2372 nucleotides) under Mus pahari (shrew mouse). RNAcentral's name for it is "predicted gene 4640 (MGP_PahariEiJ_G0005094.1)". The record is from RNAcentral. Lineage: Eukaryota; Metazoa; Chordata; Mammalia; Rodentia; Muridae.
UCCGAGCCAGGGAGCCCAGGGCAUGUCCCUUCUAAACAAAGGUCACUCAUUUCUUUAAUUUAAACAGAAGGGAUUUUGUUUCUGGCUUUCUUCUGAGGCGCUGGUGACUGGGUGGUACUGCAGCUGCCGUGUCUUCAGGAUUAACAGAAGAAUUUUGGUUAGGAACCUGAGAGCCACACGAAGAUUGUGGUUUCCAAGUUGGAGGGCUUGGAAAGGGGAGCAUCAUACUCUGAGUUCUUGAGGUUUCCAGUGUUCAAGGCACCCAUCUGCUCACCCAGAGCUGGAAGCCCAUUACAAUGCACCCCUUGUUAUGCUUAGAAUUUAAGAUGAUAUUUUUUUCUAUUUUAGUUAAUGGCCUGAGAAUGAGAUUUUGGUUGUUGGCAAUAAAUUGCAUAUUCGGGGAUAUUGGUGCAGAGGGACUCUAAUUCAGUCUUUUUAUAGUAUCCUUUCCCCCCUCUGGUCUGGAGAAUUCUUUUAAGGUGGUGGGGGUGAUUAAUGACCCCAUGUGCCUGUGUGCACACAGGGCCCACGUGUCCUCAAAAUGGGGAGGCCAGGGAUCCUGGAGACCACGCCCAUGGCAGAGGAGGGAAUUGAAACACUAUGUUCUCUGCCAAGUUCCACCCCAGCACAAACAGGGAUGAAUAGAUUAGUGAUGGAAUGUGCUCCAGGCUGUCCUCAGAUGUACAAGUCCAGCAUCCUUCCUCUUGGCUCAAAAGUAUAAAGGAGACAGGAGGCAUAGGAAAAAAAUCCUUCUCCUCCUCCUCUUCUUCCUCUUCCACGUCUUCAUCUUCUUCCUCCUCUCCUGUUUCUUUUACUUUGAAAUUAAAAUGCCUGCUGUUUAAGCAAUGGAUCAGACACUAGAUGGCAGGGGACGGAAGCUAUGUGACAGUCACUCCUCAUCACUAUGGCAAAAUGCCUGAGGAAGUGAAGGAACCUGCAGGAAGAAAGAAAGAUUUUGGCUCACACACUCAGAGGUUUCCAUUUGUGUUCAGGCCGCAGGGCUAAUGGCCCUGUGGUAUCUCCUCAGGACAAACAGGAAGCAGAGAAAGCAAAAGGAAGAUAUGUAGGCUCUACUUCUUAACAGUUCACUCAACUAUGAACUCAUCAACAAACUGAUCUACUGGUAGAAUUAUCAUAGUCGUGACUCGGUACCUCAGUGUGCCACUAACUGGGAACCAAGGUUUCAGUACAGAAGGCUUUUGAAGAUAUACCUUAUAUCUAAAUCAAAAUAAGAGGGAACUCUUGUUGGGUGCUCCCGCACUGCCAAGCAGAAAGGUAAGGUCUUCCAGCCCACACUGGAAAGAGCCACAGUGUGAUGAAGCUUGUGACACAGACACCACAUGUCUAGAGGGUCUAGAAGACAUCACAUGUCUACAAGGUCUAGAAGUUAUGAGACCCGACUCAGCUUAGAAGACAGAACAGGAGCCAUGAGUAAAACAGAGUAGAGGGUGGUCUAGAUAGAAUAGCUUUUACAUGUCCAGUGUGAGUUUCAAUUCACUUCUACUGAAAAUGAGGCUAUGGGGGUGUUUUUAAGCAGGAGAUAGGACAGACACUUGAGAGUUGUACACACCCUGUGGCAGGAGUGUGUAGGGUAGAGAAGAGUAUGGAGAUUCACACAUUAACUAAGACAGUCGGCAGAGGGAGAGUGGAAACCCAUCUGACCUUAGUCUACAUGUAACAAAACAGAGUAACUGCAGGCUUGUGAAAUCUCCCAGAGAAGGCUGAUGUAAGUAAAUGGCUUAGGAGAGCUGUUUGUCUUUAUUCCACAUUGGAAGACCAAAGAAAUUAGGUUUGGAUGUCAGCAGCAGCAGUAGCAACAACAGCAGCUGCAGCAGCAGCAGCAACAGCAGCAGCAACAACAACAACAAUAACAACAACAAUUCAAUAGAUGCAUUUGCCAGCAAAGAGAGAAGGCAGAACUCCCGUACCUGAGGUGUAGGGACCGCUACGGGACAGAGGAGAGGAGAGAUUGUAAGAGCCAGAGAACAGGGAGUCUGCUGUGUGGUUGUUUGAGACUGAGUGAGAUUGCGCCUCCUAAAAGUGACAGGGAUGCUACGUUCAUGAUCCAUCAACAAUGUCUCUCAAACAAGACCUCAACAGUAGAAACACCAGUAGACAUGCUAACAUGGAGGGGAAAAUCUCAAGGAGUCCCAUCCUAGACACAGAACUACAGGCAACUGACGACUUCUGAGAGGGAGCGUGAAUCUUUCCUAGGGAUGAGUCCCGUAAUUGGUUAUCCAAUCUAAGUGGUCUGCUCUGAAAUAAUAUACAAGUAAACAACACAAAAUUUAUUCAGUGGGUUGUAUUUAUGUACUUAUAUUUAUGCAUAGGUGUGUGUGUGUGUGUGUGUGUUGUGUGUGUGUGUGUAAAAC